GACGAACGCUGGCGGCGUGCCUAAUACAUGCAAGUCGAACGAACCGCGACUAGGUGCUUGCACUUGGUCAAGGUGAGUGGCGAACGGGUGAGUAACACGUGGGUAACCUACCUCAUAGUGGGGGAUAACAGUCGGAAACGACUGCUAAUACCGCAUAGGACAUAGGCUCACAUGAUCCAGUGAGGAAGGGUGGCGCAAGCCAUCGCUAAGAGGUGGACCCGCGUUGCAUUAGCUAGUUGGUAGGGUAAAGGCCUACCAAGGCGAUGAUGCAUAGCCGACCUGAGAGGGUGAUCGGCCACAUUGGGACUGAGACACGGCCCAAACUCCUACGGGAGGCAGCAGUAGGGAAUCUUCCGCAAUGGACGCAAGUCUGACGGAGCAACGCCGCGUGAGUGAAGAAGGUCUUCGGAUCGUAAAGCUCUGUUGUUAGAGAAGAACAGCGCAUAGAGUAACUGUUAUGCGUGUGACGGUAUCUAACCAGAAAGCCACGGCUAACUACGUG
RNAcentral lists this ribosomal RNA (502 nucleotides) under uncultured bacterium. RNAcentral's name for it is "partial 16S ribosomal RNA". It matches the Rfam family "Bacterial small subunit ribosomal RNA", at positions 28 to 507 of the family's 1533-position model. The record is from RNAcentral.